UGGGGAAUUUUGGACAAUGGGGGACACCCUGAUCCAGCCAUCCCGCGUGUGCGAUGAAGGCCUUCGGGUUGUAAAGCACUUUUGGCAGGAAAGAAACGUCAUGGGUUAAUACCCCGUGAAACUGACGGUACCUGCAGAAUAAGCACCGGCUAACUACGUGCCAGCAGCCGCGGUAAUACGUAGGGUGCAAGCGUUAAUCGGAAUUACUGGGCGUAAAGCGUGCGCAGGCGGUUCGGAAAGAAAGAUGUGAAAUCCCAGAGCUCAACUUUGGAACUGCAUUUUUAACUACCGGGCUAGAGUGUGUCAGAGGGAGGGGAAAUUCCGCGUGUAGCAGUAAAAUGCGUAGAUAUGCGGAGGAACACCGAUGGCGAAGGCAGCCUCCUGGGAUAACACUGACGCUCAUGCACGAAAGCGUGGGGAGCAAACAGG
Molecule: ribosomal RNA, 429 nt
Filed under: Acidobacteriota bacterium
Lineage: Bacteria; Pseudomonadati; Acidobacteriota
Description: Acidobacteria bacterium partial 16S ribosomal RNA
Rfam family: Bacterial small subunit ribosomal RNA
Source: RNAcentral